RNAcentral lists this ribosomal RNA (253 nucleotides) under uncultured bacterium. RNAcentral describes it as "partial 16S ribosomal RNA". It matches the Rfam family "Bacterial small subunit ribosomal RNA", at positions 524 to 776 of the family's 1533-position model. The record is from RNAcentral.
UACGUAGGGUGCGAGCGUUGUCCGGAAUUAUUGGGCGUAAAGGGCUCGUAGGCGGUCUGUUACGUCAGGAGUGAAAACUCGGGGCUCAACCCCGAGCCUGCUUCUGAUACGGGCAGACUGGAGGUAUGCAGGGGAGAACGGAAUUCCUGGUGUAGCGGUGAAAUGCGCAGAUAUCAGGAGGAACACCGGUGGCGAAGGCGGUUCUCUGGGCAUUACCUGACGCUGAGGAGCGAAAGUGUGGGGAGCGAACAGG